CCAAGGAGUCUAACAUGUGCGCAAGUCAUGGGGUUGUACGAAACCUAAAGGCGCAAUGAAAGUGAAGGCAGCCUCGGGUUUGCCUAGGUAGGAUCCUUCUCCUAUGGAGGGGGCGCACUACUGGCCCGUCUCGUCUGCAUUGCAGUGAGGCGGAGCAAGAGCGUACACGUUGGGACCCGAAAGAUGGUGAACUAUGCCUGAGUAGGACGAAGCCAGAGGAAACUCUGGUGGAAGUCCGUAGCGAUUCUGACGUGCAAAUCGAUCGUCAAACUUGGGUAUAGGGGCGAAAGACUAAUCGAACCAUCUA
Molecule: ribosomal RNA, 307 nt
Filed under: Leptochiton asellus
Lineage: Eukaryota; Metazoa; Mollusca; Polyplacophora; Lepidopleurida; Lepidopleuridae
Description: eukaryotic LSU rRNA
Rfam family: Eukaryotic large subunit ribosomal RNA
Source: RNAcentral